AGCGGCGUAAGGGGCAGUAAUACCUGGGAACGUACCCUUUGGUCGGGGAUAGCUGCUGGAAACGGCGAGUAAUACCCGAUGAACUCGAGAGAGCAAAGGCUUGCCGCCGGAGGAGCGGCCCAGGCGAUAUUAGCUAGUUGGUGGGGUAAUGGCCUACCAAGGCUUAGAUGUCUAGCGGGUGUGAGAGCACGACCCGCGCCACUGGCACUGAGACACUGGCCAGACACCUACGGGUGGCUGCAGUCGAGAAUCUUCGGCAAUGAGCGCAAGCUUGACCGAGCGACGCCGCGUGCGGGAUGAAGGCCUUCGGGUUGUAAACCGCUUUGGUCCGAAAGAAAGGGUAAAACUUGAUCGAUCGGAGAAACAAGGACGGGCUAAGUUCGUGCCAGCAGCCGCGGUAAGACGAACCGUCCAAACGUUAUUCGGAAUCACUGGGCUUAAAGGGCGCGUAGGCGGCCGAGCGGGUCACGGGUGAAAUCCCCCAGCUUAACUGGGGAACUGCCCUUGAUACCACUGCGGCUCGAGGAAGGAAGGGGUCAUGGGAACUGUCGGUGGAGCGGUGGAAUGCGUUGAUAUCGACAGGAACGCCUGUGGCGAAAGCGCAUGACUGGUCCUUUUCUGACGCUGAGGCGCGAAAGCCAGGGGAGCAAACGGGAUUAGAUACCCCGGUAGUCCUGGCCUUAAACGAUGAGAACUAGGU
This 700-nucleotide ribosomal RNA is filed under the name uncultured bacterium. RNAcentral's name for it is "bacterial SSU rRNA". It matches the Rfam family "Bacterial small subunit ribosomal RNA", at positions 94 to 821 of the family's 1533-position model. The record is from RNAcentral.